Molecule: long non-coding RNA, 316 nt
Organism: Myotis daubentonii (Daubenton's bat)
Lineage: Eukaryota; Metazoa; Chordata; Mammalia; Chiroptera; Vespertilionidae
Source: RefSeq, a predicted model, not a curated record
ACACAUUUUCGAUCAUCUUAGGAACUGAGACACAGCUCCUCUAUCCAUCUCCAGGCGGGUCUGCCCACAUGCAGAUACGCCCACAUACGAGUACCCGGCGUGAUGACAUCAUCGCACCAACCCCAUCACAUACACCCCGUACAAAUACAGGUGUAUGUGACAGGGUUGGCACCAUAAUGUACUUAUGCGGACCAGUCACACAUGUGUAGAGAGCAGCUACUGUGUUGAAAGCAGCAGUAUUGGAGGUAAAACGACACUUCAUGAAUUAUAAUUACUGGGUAAAUGUAAAAUCAUGUACUGUAAAAUCAUCAACUAC